GGCUGGUCCGAGUGCAAGUGGUGUUUACAACAAAUUGAUCACAAUGAGUUACAGAUUCCUUUGUUCCCUCUUCACUCCCACUACUUCACUUGACUAGUCUUUG
RNAcentral lists this Y RNA (103 nucleotides) under Prolemur simus (greater bamboo lemur). RNAcentral's name for it is "Y RNA (ENSPSMG00000022942.1)". It matches the Rfam family "Y RNA". From Rfam's summary of the family: Y RNAs are components of the Ro ribonucleoprotein particle (Ro RNP), in association with Ro60 and La proteins. Lineage: Eukaryota; Metazoa; Chordata; Mammalia; Primates; Lemuridae. The record is from Rfam by way of RNAcentral.